This 128-nucleotide ribosomal RNA is filed under the name Tetraonyx fulvus. Its description in RNAcentral is "partial 5.8S ribosomal RNA". It matches the Rfam family "5.8S ribosomal RNA", at positions 30 to 154 of the family's 154-position model. From Rfam's summary of the family: 5.8S ribosomal RNA (5.8S rRNA) is a component of the large subunit of the eukaryotic ribosome. It is transcribed by RNA polymerase I as part of the 45S precursor that also contains 18S and 28S rRNA. The record is from RNAcentral. Lineage: Eukaryota; Metazoa; Arthropoda; Insecta; Coleoptera; Meloidae.
GCAUCGAUGAAGAACGCAGCUAAUUGCGCGUCAACAUGUGAACUGCAGGACACAUGAACAUCGACAUUUCGAACGCGCAUUGCGGUCCUCGGAUACUGUUCCUGGACCACGCCUGGCUGAGGGUCGUG